AUUGAACGCUGGCGGCAGGCCUAACACAUGCAAGUAGAGCGAGAGGCGGACGGGUGAGUAAUGUCUGGGAAACUGCCUGAUGGAGGGGGAUAACUACUGGAAACGGUAGCUAAUACCGCAUACAAUCAGAUGUGCCCAGAUGGGAUUAGCUAGUAGGUGGGGUAACGGCUCACCUAGGCGACGAUGCCUAGCUGGUCUGAGAGGAUGACCAGCCUGACGGGAACUGAUGCACGGUCCAGACGCCUACGGGAGGCAGCAUUGGGGAAGAUUGCACAAUGGGUGCAAGCCUGAUGCAGCCAUGCCGCGUGUGUGAAGAUGGCCUGCGGGUUGUAAAGCACUUUCAGCGGGGAGGCGUUACCCGCAGAAGAAGCACCGGCUAACUCCGUGCCAGCAGCCGCGGUAAUAC
Molecule: ribosomal RNA, 406 nt
Filed under: uncultured bacterium
Lineage: Bacteria
Description: partial 16S ribosomal RNA
Rfam family: Bacterial small subunit ribosomal RNA
Source: RNAcentral